AUGAUCAUUGACUUACAUCACGAUAUCUUUUUCUUCCUCAUUCUUAUUUUGGUUUUCGUAUCACGGAUGUUGGUUCGCGCUUUAUGGCAUUUCAACGAGCAAACUAAUCCAAUCCCACAAAGGGCGGAUCUCAAUGUUCUCGUCAUGACCAAUGCUCCUAACAGGGGUGACUUUCUCAUAGACCAACCUCCCGUUGGCGGACUACCAGACCUCCAGCAGGAAAUGGCCACGCCGCCCAUCCCGAAGACAUAA
Molecule: ribosomal RNA, 252 nt
Filed under: Triticum aestivum (bread wheat)
Lineage: Eukaryota; Viridiplantae; Streptophyta; Magnoliopsida; Poales; Poaceae
Description: partial small subunit ribosomal RNA
Source: RNAcentral